Oncorhynchus mykiss (rainbow trout) is the source of this 61-nucleotide microRNA precursor. NCBI's taxonomy places the organism in Eukaryota, Metazoa, Chordata, Actinopteri, Salmoniformes, Salmonidae. The record is from Ensembl.
ACGCUGAGCCACGCGCACAAUACAUGAUGAAGAUGACGUUUUGUUCGUUCGGCUCGCGUUA